GGGGACAGCUCAGUGGUAGAGUGCAUGCUUAGCAUGCAUGAGGUCCUGGGUUCAAUCCCCAGUAUCUCCA
This 70-nucleotide transfer RNA is filed under the name Camelus bactrianus (Bactrian camel). It matches the Rfam family "tRNA". From Rfam's summary of the family: Transfer RNA (tRNA) molecules are approximately 80 nucleotides in length. Their secondary structure includes four short double-helical elements and three loops (D, anti-codon, and T loops). Further hydrogen bonds mediate the characteristic L-shaped molecular structure. tRNAs have two regions of fundamental functional importance: the anti-codon, which is responsible for specific mRNA codon recognition, and the 3' end, to which the tRNAs corresponding amino acid is attached (by aminoacyl-tRNA synthetases). tRNAs cope with the degeneracy of the genetic code in two manners: having more than one tRNA (with a specific anti-codon) for a particular amino acid; and 'wobble' base-pairing, i.e. permitting non-standard base-pairing at the 3rd anti-codon position. RNAcentral also lists the same sequence under 2 other names. Lineage: Eukaryota; Metazoa; Chordata; Mammalia; Artiodactyla; Camelidae. The record is from Rfam by way of RNAcentral.